Molecule: ribosomal RNA, 617 nt
Filed under: uncultured bacterium
Lineage: Bacteria
Description: bacterial SSU rRNA
Rfam family: Bacterial small subunit ribosomal RNA
Source: RNAcentral
ACGGAGUUUUGUGAGGGAAGUCUACGGAUGGACGUUAUAAAACUUAGUGGCGGACGGGUGAGUAACGCGUGGGCAACCUGCCGUAUACAGGGGGAUAACAACUGGAAACAGUUGCUAACACCGCAUAAGCGCACGGUACCGCAUGGUACCGAGUGAAAAUCUCCGGAGGUAUACGAUGGGCCCGCGUCUGAUUAGCCAGUUGGUGGGGUAACGGCCUACCAAAGCGACGAUCAGUAGCCGGCCUGAGAGGGUGGACGGCCACAUUGGGACUGAGACACGGCCCAAACUCCUACGGGAGGCAGCAGUGGGGGAUAUUGCACAAUGGGGGAAACCCUGAUGCAGCGACGCCGCGUGAGUGAAGAAGCAAUUCGUUGCGUAAAGCUCUAUCAGCAGGGAAGAAGAAAUGACGGUACCUGAAUAAGAAGCCCCGGCUAACUACGUGCCAGCAGCCGCGGUAAUACGUAGGGGGCAAGCGUUAUCCGGAUUUACUGGGUGUAAAGGGAGCGUAGACGGCAGUGCAAGUCCGAUGUGAAAACCCGGGGCUCAACCCCUGGGAGUGCAUCCCAAACUGUACGGCUGGAGUGCAGGAGAGGCAACCCCAAUUCCUGGUGUAGCGG